This is a long non-coding RNA of Oreochromis aureus, 820 nucleotides long. RefSeq lists it as uncharacterized. The transcript has 3 exons. NCBI's taxonomy places the organism in Eukaryota, Metazoa, Chordata, Actinopteri, Cichliformes, Cichlidae. The record is from RefSeq and is a predicted model, not a curated record.
UAUUUCCUUCUAUUUUGUGGAAAGGAAGUAGGGCUAAAGCAGCUGAGGCGAAUUAUUUGACUACAUUUAAACGUGCAUUGCAUACAUGUAUUUGGAUUUUGGCAGGUUUCAUGAUUCAUAAGGUUUUGUUUCUUCCCCUGCAGAUUAGUAGCGUGAGUUCUCAAAUUUAUUCAGUAAGCUGUAAAGAAAAGGAAAAGGCCCACAGCAAAAGUUUGGACACCUUGUAGUUGACCUUAGGGCCCAAACUGCAUGCCAGUGAAACUCUACUUUGGCAGCCGAGCACUUCAUGUUAUCUGUGGACCAGGCAAUUGUGAAUGGCCAUAUCACUAUCUUCAGCGACGCACUUAUCCUGAUGUUUGGCUCUUACUACUGCACGAACAUUUCUUAUCCAGUAGCCCAGGCAGCAACCUUGGAAUUCUUGCAACGGUAAGGCGGCACCAGUCAAUUUUAUGCACUGAGACAUAAGAAUGAUGAGACAGUGAAAUCUAAAGUUAUGCAAUCCAAAUCAAAUCAUCAGAUCUCCUUUCAUUUGCAGCUAAAACACAUAAGAAUGAGCAAUGCUUGAGUGUUGAGAUGAUUUGUAGAUUGAUAAAUCAACAAAUAACUAAUAUUUGCGUUUCAGAUGGCUGUCUCUGAAAUAUCCUUGAUUCGCGCUCAUGUCAAGUUAUAGGAAGAGACCUUUGAGUAGUAGAUGUUCACAGAUGUUUCACUACCCUGAAACAGCAUUUGCAAUAGACUCACAGGUUAACCAAACAUCUUUGCAUCAGCCCUCUGUUCCACAAUGACCUGUAUGUCCAAACACGCACUCAAAAGCAAGCUC